This 460-nucleotide ribosomal RNA is filed under the name uncultured bacterium. Its description in RNAcentral is "partial 16S ribosomal RNA". It matches the Rfam family "Bacterial small subunit ribosomal RNA", at positions 338 to 795 of the family's 1533-position model. The record is from RNAcentral.
CCUACGGGAGACUGCAGUGAGGAAUAUUGGUCAAUGGCCGUAAGGCUGAACCAGCCAAGUCGCGUGAAGGAAGAAGGAUCUAUGGUUUGUAAACUUCUUUUAUAGGGGAAUAAAGGUAUCCACGUGCGGAUAUUUGCAUGUACCCUAUGAAUAAGCAUGGGCUAACUCCGAGCCAGCGGCCGCGGUAAUACGGAGGGUGCGAGCGUUAUCCGGAUUUCUUGGGUUUAAAGGGUGCGUAGGUUGUUUGUUAAUUAAGCGGUGAAAGUUUAUGGCUCAACCAUAAAAUUGCCGUUGAAACGGGAAGACUUGAGUGUGGUUGAGGUAGGCGGAAUGCGUGGUGUAGCGGUAGAAUGCAUAGAUAGCACGCAGAACACCGAUUGCGAAGGCAGCUUACUAAGCCAUAACUGACACUGAAGCACGAAAGCGUGGGGAGCAAACAGGAUUAGAUACCCGUGUAGUC